This 253-nucleotide ribosomal RNA is filed under the name uncultured bacterium. RNAcentral's name for it is "partial 16S ribosomal RNA". It matches the Rfam family "Bacterial small subunit ribosomal RNA", at positions 524 to 776 of the family's 1533-position model. The record is from RNAcentral.
UACGUAGGGUGCAAGCGUUGUCCGGAACUAUUGGGCGUAAAGAGCUCGUAGGCGGUCUGUCGCGUCGGCUGUGAAAACCCGGAGCUCAACUCCGGGCCUGCAGUCGAUACGGGCAAACUGGAGUGUUGCAGGGGAGACUGGAAUUCCUGGUGUAGCGGUGAAAUGCGCAGAUAUCAGGAGGAACACCGGUGGCGAAGGCGGGUCUCUGGGCAACAACUGACGCUGAGGAGCGAAAGCGUGGGGAGCGAACAGG